Molecule: long non-coding RNA, 1156 nt
Organism: Artibeus jamaicensis (Jamaican fruit-eating bat)
Lineage: Eukaryota; Metazoa; Chordata; Mammalia; Chiroptera; Phyllostomidae
Exons: 4
Source: RefSeq, a predicted model, not a curated record
GACUGCGACCCUCAACGAUUCGCUGCCACUCUGAGCUCAGGACAGGCUGAGCCUGCCUCCCUGGCUCCCGAAGCUGAGAGAGGGAAGUAGGUAGGGACACUUGGGCGCUUGCGCCUGACGUUUCGGUCUCGGGGAGGCAGCUCCACCUCCCCAAGUGAGCUCGGCUCCCCGUUCCCAGGAUAAGAUACCAUCUCGGCCGGGGCUAGAUCCCGAGACCACUGACUGCCUCCCCUCCCUCCCCAGGGCCUUCCCCACUCAUUUAUCCCCGAGCACCGCGGGCUCUCCUGGGCUUCCAGCCAGCCCCUCACACUCGAAGCCCACGCGGGAUGGGGUUUAACCAACUCCUUGGGGGACCUUGAUUCCCAGGAAGUAUGGCAGUGACCCAGUCGGACAGCCCAGAAAGCGGGACAUGAUACAGGCAGAUGUGAAAACCCGCUUAACAGCAUGUGUGAGUCUGUCUGCACAGUUGGCUCCGCAUGUGAGGUGCGAAGAAUCCAGUUUCAUCCAAGCGAUGUAUCAAUAAAUGAUGCCAUCUCCAUAUUGAUUUAUGUUUAAUUUCCGCUGACCCUGUGGGUGAAGAUGUCCUUGAUUAUUUCACCUCGAUAUGUUCCAGCUCAUCUGAUGUCCCAUCACCAGUGUCCAUGUGCCAGAUCUUGUGUGCCAAGAUCUGUCCAAAAUCGGAGCAUCCAAGACAGAGGAGCAGCAGCUUCCUGCGUCCUGGCCCCUGAUUACCAGGUGGCAGUUGUGGGUAACUGUUUUCCAGGCUGCUGCAUGUCAAGGAGCAGUGGCUGUGCUCAUGGCAUAUUGACUCCAGCUUCUUGAAUUCGCAGUUCCUCUGAUGGGUUCAGCGGAGACAGCUUGUGUGGACUGCUUCUGUCUGGCUCCCAGGCCGGCUUCUGGGGGCCAAGCCCGGAACUUUCAGCUCCGCCGUGGUUUUUAACUUCAUUCCGUUCCGCCUGUCCCAGACAAGGAGAGAUGAUGAGCUCAUCACAGCUGGCCACACUGUUGUGUGGGUCCUCACGCACUAUUCCAGGAAGAGGUCUCCUUCCCAAAUAGCGCCGAGCCAGAAGACUAUGAAUGAGGUGCUGAGAACUUUCAGGCAAUAAGACUGUUUGUUGAUUUGGUUUGAAGACGCCAGAAACUAAUUUUGCCAGUA